CUUGAACGCUGGCGGCAGGCCUAACACAUGCAAGUCAGGCGAGCGGCGGACGGGUGAGUAAUGUAUGGGGAUCUGCCUGAUGGAGGGGGAUAACUACUGGAAACGGUAACUAAUACCGCAUACCAUCAGAUGAACCCAUAUGGGAUUAGCUUGUAGGGGAGGUAACGGCUCACCUAGGCGACGAUCCCUAACUGGUCUUAGAGUAUGAUCAGCUAUACUGGGACUGAGACACGGCCCAGACUCCUGCGGGAGGCAGCAGUGGGGAAUAUUGCACAAUGGGCGCAAGCCUGAUGCAGCCAUGCCGCGUGUAUGAAGAAGGCCUUCGGGUUGUAAAGUACUUUCAGUCUGGAGGCGUUACCGACAGAAGAAGCACCGGCUAACUCCGUGCCAGCCGCCGCGGUAAUAC
This 406-nucleotide ribosomal RNA is filed under the name uncultured bacterium. RNAcentral's name for it is "partial 16S ribosomal RNA". It matches the Rfam family "Bacterial small subunit ribosomal RNA", at positions 30 to 526 of the family's 1533-position model. The record is from RNAcentral.